This 254-nucleotide ribosomal RNA is filed under the name uncultured bacterium. RNAcentral's name for it is "partial 16S ribosomal RNA". It matches the Rfam family "Bacterial small subunit ribosomal RNA", at positions 524 to 776 of the family's 1533-position model. The record is from RNAcentral.
GACGUAGGGCGCGAGCGUUGUCCGGAUUUAUUGGGCGUAAAGAGCUUGUAGGCGGUUUGUCGCGUCUGCUGUGAAAAUCCGGGGCUCAACCCCGGACUUGCAGUGGGUACGGGCAGACUAGAGUGUGGUAGGGGAGACUGGAAUUCCUGGUGUAGCGGUGGAAUGCGCAGAUAUCAGGAGGAACACCGAGUGGCGAAGGCAGGUCUCUGGGCAUUAACUGACGCUGAGGAGCGAAAGCAUGGGGAGCGAACAGG